CAGAGGUGGCAAGCGUUGUCGGAAUUACUGGGCGUAAAGGGCGCGUAGGCGGCCAUCUAAGUCAGACGUGAAAUCCCCCGGCUUAACCUGGGAACUGCGUCUGAUACUGGACGGCUCGAGUAUGGGAGAGGGAUGUAGAAUUCCAGGUGUAGCGGUGAAAUGCGUAGAUAUCUGGAGGAAUACCGGUGGCGAAGGCGGCAUCCUGGACCAUUUACUGACGCUGAGGCGCGAAAGCUAGGGGAGCAAACGGGAUUAGAUACCCCGGUAGUCCUAGCCCUAAACGAUGAAUGCUUGGUGUGGCGGGUAUCGAUCCCUGCCGUGCCGAAGCUAACGCAUUAAGCAUUCCGCCUGGGGAGUACGGUCGCAAGGCUG
Molecule: ribosomal RNA, 372 nt
Filed under: uncultured organism
Description: bacterial SSU rRNA
Rfam family: Bacterial small subunit ribosomal RNA
Source: RNAcentral